AGAAGAGGACAUCGAAAUUGCUAAUAAGCUCAUUUCCCCAAGGUGAUCACAUCGAAAUUUCAAACUCUAUAAACCCUAAUUUUUACAAUCAGCGGUUCACAACCUUCAUGCACCAGCCACUGAUCUCAAUCUACGACCAUAGUUCCAUUCGCUAUAUUGAAUUUCUUAGCAACCAAAACGUACUAUAAAUUUUUGAAUUCAAAUUAAAAAGCAAAAAUCAAUAAAUGAAAAGGUAGGAAUAGGCGAUAGAGGAAUAGAAACUAAGGUUUUUU
Molecule: unclassified non-coding RNA, 272 nt
Filed under: Hevea brasiliensis (rubber tree)
Lineage: Eukaryota; Viridiplantae; Streptophyta; Magnoliopsida; Malpighiales; Euphorbiaceae
Source: RNAcentral